This 1128-nucleotide long non-coding RNA is filed under the name Monodelphis domestica (gray short-tailed opossum). Its description in RNAcentral is "lncRNA (ENSMODG00000038396.1)". Lineage: Eukaryota; Metazoa; Chordata; Mammalia; Didelphimorphia; Didelphidae. The record is from RNAcentral.
CUGUCAUCCUGUUAUUGCAACUCAAGAUAUCCUGUCAUCCUGUUAUUGCAACUCAAGAUAUCCUGUCAUCCUGUUUUGCAACUCAGACGUACCCUAUAUAAUCCUCCUCUCCCCUUUGUUUAGUGUUCCAUCUGCCUUGGAGGCAGUUGGACCCAAGCUCAAGCUUGUAAUAAAGCAGUACCUCUUGCUUUUACAUUAUCUGGUGUGCCUCCUAAUUUGGGAAACCAGAACCUGGUCAAACAUUUGGGGGCUCUUCUGGGAUUUCCUGACUGGACCGCUCAUGGAUAGAGGUACUGGUUCAGAGGACAAAAGGGUCAGAGAAUGUGUAGGUGAUGUGUGACUGUGACGGGGAGCUGAUCAUGAGAUUAGAAAAUACGACUUAGUCCAGCUAGUCCCACCAGCUCAGGGGAUUAUAUGGAGAGAGCCUAUUGUUCAGUUCAAUCCCAGUAAGUGAUUUGGUUCUGCCUGUUUCUGAGUGUGGACCAGCCUAAUACAUGUCUCUCAGACUUUUCGAGAAGCUGAGUCAGAAGCUGAGCCGGAACAGCUGAGAAGUAUUUGGUUAUCAAGAAAAAGCAAAAGUGAAUUGACCCUUUCAACCAUCCAAGCAGAAGAGACUCACUUCGAGGGGUUGGAGGCCCUUCGCCCAGAGUCCUGGGAACCUGGGACAGAGACUGGGUCUCUGCAGCAGAGGAGGAAGAAAAGAAAGAAGAAAAGGAGGAGGAAAACAGGAAGAGGAGAAAAGAGAAGGAAGAUACAGAUGAAGAAAGAAGAGGAGAAAAAAGGAGGAAGAAAAAAGAGGAGGAGGAAAAUAAAAAAGAAGUAAGAAAGAAUAAAGGAAGAAGGAAGAGGAAGAAGAGUUCAUUACAAAUCAAGUAGAAUACUUAGGAAGAGACUGGAGCCUGGAAGGUAUCACGCCAUUUGGAUUUGCCCCUGUGAAGCAGAGAGAAGUCUUCAAAAAAGGUCAUGUUGUUCUUAAUGGUUUGGGGUCUUUCUGAGUAGUACACAGUGUCUGGAGUCUUACUGGCUAUCUUAAAUCUAUUAUUUGGUACUACAUUAUUCCUAGAAUUUGGAGAUCUGUUCACUUAUUUGAGGGGCAUUUACAUUAAUAAAGUACUGGACCUAGAGUCA